RNAcentral lists this ribosomal RNA (490 nucleotides) under uncultured bacterium. Its description in RNAcentral is "partial 16S ribosomal RNA". It matches the Rfam family "Bacterial small subunit ribosomal RNA", at positions 30 to 507 of the family's 1533-position model. The record is from RNAcentral.
AUUGAACGCUGGCGGCAGGCCUAACACAUGCAAGUCGAACGGUAACAGGAAACAGCUUGCUGUUUCGCUGACGAGUGGCGGACGGGUGAGUAAUGUCUGGGAAACUGCCUGAUGGAGGGGGAUAACUACUGGAAACGGUAGCUAAUACCGCAUAACGUCGCAAGACCAAAGAGGGGGACCUUCGGGCCCCUUGCCAUCGGAUGUGCCCAGAUGGGAUUAGCUAGUAGGUGGGGUAACGGCUCACCUAGGCGACGAUCCCUAGCUGGUCUGAGAGGAUGACCAGCCACACUGAAACUGAGACACGGUCCAGACUCCUACGGGAGGCAGCAGUGGGGAAUAUUGCACAAAGGGCGCAAGCCUGAUGCAGCCAUGCCGCGUGUAUGAAGAAGGCCUUCGGGUUGUAAAGUACUUUCAGCGGGGAGGAAGGGAGUAAAGUUAAUACCUUUACUCAUUGACGUUACCCGCAGAAGAAGCACCGGCUAACUCCGUG